This 21-nucleotide transfer RNA is filed under the name Fissurella oriens. Its description in RNAcentral is "partial tRNA-Leu". The record is from RNAcentral. Lineage: Eukaryota; Metazoa; Mollusca; Gastropoda; Lepetellida; Fissurellidae. RNAcentral also lists the same sequence under 2 other names.
UUGUUGUAGCUCUUCCCAGUA